UCCCUGUUAGCUCAGCUGGUAAAGAAUCCGUCUGUAAUGCAGGAGACCCAGGUUCAAUUCCUGGGUUGGGAA
Molecule: transfer RNA, 72 nt
Filed under: Capra hircus (goat)
Lineage: Eukaryota; Metazoa; Chordata; Mammalia; Artiodactyla; Bovidae
Also listed under: 1 other name
Rfam family: tRNA
About the family: Transfer RNA (tRNA) molecules are approximately 80 nucleotides in length.
Source: Rfam by way of RNAcentral